AGCAGUGUGGCCUAGUGGAAAGCACUGGCCUGGGAGUCAGAGAACCUGGGUUCUAAUCCUGGCUCCGCCA
This 70-nucleotide transfer RNA is filed under the name Ornithorhynchus anatinus (platypus). It matches the Rfam family "tRNA". From Rfam's summary of the family: Transfer RNA (tRNA) molecules are approximately 80 nucleotides in length. Their secondary structure includes four short double-helical elements and three loops (D, anti-codon, and T loops). Lineage: Eukaryota; Metazoa; Chordata; Mammalia; Monotremata; Ornithorhynchidae. The record is from Rfam by way of RNAcentral.